UGGGGAAUAUUGCACAAUGGGGGAAACCCUGAUGCAGCAACGCCGCGUGAAGGAUGAAGGUUUUCGGAUUGUAAACUUCUUUAGUCGGGGACGAAAAAUGACGGUACCCGAAGAAUAAGCCACGGCUAACUACGUGCCAGCAGCCGCGGUAAUACGUAGGUGGCGAGCGUUGUCCGGAAUUACUGGGUGUAAAGGGCGUGUAGGCGGGGAGACAAGUCAGAUGUGAAAUACCGAAGCUUAACUUCGGGGCUGCAUCUGAAACUGUUUUUCUUGAGUGUCGGAGAGGAAAGCGGAAUUCCCAGUGUAGCGGUGAAAUGCGUAGAUAUUGGGAGGAACACCAGUGGCGAAGGCGGCUUUCUGGACGACAACUGACGCUGAGGCGCGAAAGCGUGGGGAGCAAACAGG
This 405-nucleotide ribosomal RNA is filed under the name uncultured prokaryote. Its description in RNAcentral is "bacterial SSU rRNA". It matches the Rfam family "Bacterial small subunit ribosomal RNA", at positions 355 to 776 of the family's 1533-position model. The record is from RNAcentral.